RNAcentral lists this ribosomal RNA (1400 nucleotides) under Salmonella enterica subsp. enterica serovar Enteritidis. RNAcentral's name for it is "partial 23S ribosomal RNA". It matches the Rfam family "Bacterial large subunit ribosomal RNA", at positions 1538 to 2912 of the family's 2925-position model. Lineage: Bacteria; Pseudomonadati; Pseudomonadota; Gammaproteobacteria; Enterobacterales; Enterobacteriaceae. The record is from RNAcentral.
AAAUCCGGUUCACUUUAACACUGAGGCGUGACGACGAGGCACUACGGUGCUGAAGCAACAAAUGCCCUGCUUCCAGGAAAAGCCUCUAAGCAUCAGGUAACAUCAAAUCGUACCCCAAACCGACACAGGUGGUCAGGUAGAGAAUACCAAGGCGCUUGAGAGAACUCGGGUGAAGGAACUAGGCAAAAUGGUGCCGUAACUUCGGGAGAAGGCACGCUGACACGUAGGUGAAGUGAUUUACUCAUGGAGCUGAAGUCAGUCGAAGAUACCAGCUGGCUGCAACUGUUUAUUAAAAACACAGCACUGUGCAAACACGAAAGUGGACGUAUACGGUGUGACGCCUGCCCGGUGCCGGAAGGUUAAUUGAUGGGGUCAGCGCAAGCGAAGCUCCUGAUCGAAGCCCCGGUAAACGGCGGCCGUAACUAUAACGGUCCUAAGGUAGCGAAAUUCCUUGUCGGGUAAGUUCCGACCUGCACGAAUGGCGUAAUGAUGGCCAGGCUGUCUCCACCCGAGACUCAGUGAAAUUGAACUCGCUGUGAAGAUGCAGUGUACCCGCGGCAAGACGGAAAGACCCCGUGAACCUUUACUAUAGCUUGACACUGAACAUUGAGCCUUGAUGUGUAGGAUAGGUGGGAGGCUUUGAAGUGUGGACGCCAGUCUGCAUGGAGCCGACCUUGAAAUACCACCCUUUAAUGUUUGAUGUUCUAACGUGGACCCGUUACCCGGGUUGCGGACAGUGUCUGGUGGGUAGUUUGACUGGGGCGGUCUCCUCCUAAAGAGUAACGGAGGAGCACGAAGGUUGGCUAAUCCUGGUCGGACAUCAGGAGGUUAGUGCAAUGGCAUAAGCCAGCUUGACUGCGAGCGUGACGGCGCGAGCAGGUGCGAAAGCAGGUCAUAGUGAUCCGGUGGUUCUGAAUGGAAGGGCCAUCGCUCAACGGAUAAAAGGUACUCCGGGGAUAACAGGCUGAUACCGCCCAAGAGUUCAUAUCGACGGCGGUGUUUGGCACCUCGAUGUCGGCUCAUCACAUCCUGGGGCUGAAGUAGGUCCCAAGGGUAUGGCUGUUCGCCAUUUAAAGUGGUACGCGAGCUGGGUUUAGAACGUCGUGAGACAGUUCGGUCCCUAUCUGCCGUGGGCGCUGGAGAACUGAGGGGGGCUGCUCCUAGUACGAGAGGACCGGAGUGGACGCAUCACUGGUGUUCGGGUUGUCAUGCCAAUGGCACUGCCCGGUAGCUAAAUGCGGAAGAGAUAAGUGCUGAAAGCAUCUAAGCACGAAACUUGCCCCGAGAUGAGUUCUCCCUGAGACUUUAGGUCUCCUGAAGGAACGUUGAAGACGACGACGUUGAUAGGCCGGGUGUGUAAGCGCAGCGAUGCGUUGAGCUAACCGGUACUAAUGAACCGU